AUUGAACGCUGGCGGCAGGCCUAACACAUGCAAGUCGAGCGGACAAAGGGAGCUUGCUCCUGGCUUCAGCGGCGGACGGGUGAGUAAUGCAUAGGAAUCUGCCUGGUAGAGGGGGAUAACGUCCGGAAACGGGCGCUAAUACCGCACACGUCCUGAGGGAGAACGUGGGGGAUCUUCGGACCUCACGCUAUCAGCUGAGCCUAGGUCGGAUUAGCUAGUUGGUAGGGUAAAGGCGUACCAAGGCGACGAUCCGUAACUGGUCUGAGAGGAUGAUCAGUCACACUGGAACUGAGACACGGUCCAGACUCCUACGGGAGGCAGCAGUGGGGAAUAUUGGACAAUGGGCGAAAGCUUGAUCCAGCCAUGCCGCGUGUGUGAUGAAGGUCUUCGGAUUGUAAAGCACUUUUAUUUGGGAGGAAGGGAAGUAUGUUAAUACCUUGCUGUUUUGACGUUACCAACAGAAUAAGCACCGGCUAACUUCGUG
RNAcentral lists this ribosomal RNA (484 nucleotides) under uncultured bacterium. Its description in RNAcentral is "partial 16S ribosomal RNA". It matches the Rfam family "Bacterial small subunit ribosomal RNA", at positions 30 to 507 of the family's 1533-position model. The record is from RNAcentral.